GACGAACGCUGGCGGCGUGCUUAACACAUGCAAGUCGAACGGAAAGGCCCUGCUUUUGUGGGGUGCUCGAGUGGCGAACGGGUGAGUAACACGUGAGUAACCUGCCCUUGACUUUGGGAUAACUUCAGGAAACUGGGGCUCAUACCGGAUAGGAGCUCCUGCUGCAUGGUGGGGGUUGGAAAGUUUCGGCGGUUGGGGAUGGACUCGCGGCUUAUCAGCUUGUUGGUGGGGUAGUGGCUUACCAAGGCUUUGACGGGUAGCCGGCCUUAGAGGGUGACCGGCCACAUUGGGACUGCGAUACGGCCCAGACUCCUACGGGAGGCAGCAGUGGGGAAUAUUGCACAAUGGGCGGAAGCCUGAUGCAGCAACGCCGCGUGCGGGAUGACGGCCUUCGGGUUGUAAACCGCUUUCGCCUGUGACGAAGCGUGAGUGACGGUAAUGGGUAAAGAAGCACCGGCUAACUACGUG
Molecule: ribosomal RNA, 468 nt
Filed under: uncultured bacterium
Lineage: Bacteria
Description: partial 16S ribosomal RNA
Rfam family: Bacterial small subunit ribosomal RNA
Source: RNAcentral